CUCUUCUUGAAUAUAUUUUGAUGUAUGGCCUGCCCACUGAAUAUUGAAGGGCCGCGGUAUUUUGACCGUGCAAAGGUAGCAUAAUCAUUAGUCUUUUAAUUGUAGGCUGGAAUGAAUGGUUUGACGAGGUGUUAACUGUCUUUAUUUUUUUUUUGAACUUAAAUUUUAGGUUAAAAUGCCUAAAUGUUUUUUUGGGACGAGAAGACCCUAUAGAGUUUUAUAUAUUUUUAUUUUUUUUGUAUGAGAAUUUCUAAUGUAAAAAUUUAUUUUGUUGGGGUGAUGGAAAGAUUUAAUUAACUCUUUUUAUUUAUUUUAUAUUUAUUUAUAUGUAUUUGAUCCAUUUAUGUUGAUUAUAARACUAAAUUACC
Molecule: ribosomal RNA, 368 nt
Filed under: Cryptocercus sp. BL119
Lineage: Eukaryota; Metazoa; Arthropoda; Insecta; Blattodea; Cryptocercidae
Description: partial 16S ribosomal RNA
Source: RNAcentral